UGCAUUCACUACUAUAAGUCGCUCUGGAUAAGAGCAUCUGCUAAAUGACAAAAA
Molecule: non-coding RNA, 54 nt
Organism: Salmo salar (Atlantic salmon)
Lineage: Eukaryota; Metazoa; Chordata; Actinopteri; Salmoniformes; Salmonidae
Source: Rfam